Phacochoerus africanus (Common warthog) is the source of this 6298-nucleotide long non-coding RNA. RefSeq lists it as uncharacterized. NCBI's taxonomy places the organism in Eukaryota, Metazoa, Chordata, Mammalia, Artiodactyla, Suidae. The record is from RefSeq and is a predicted model, not a curated record. The transcript has 3 exons.
CUCGGGGGUGGGCGGAGGCUGGCCCACGAGGUGAGACCUCAUGGAAGGGACCCAGCGCUGCGGGACCCAGCUAGGGGACGGAGCCAGCGCAGGGCAGGCCGGUGCAGACCCCAGACAGCAAGAAGCACAGGGGGAGGGAGGGGAGGACCGCCCGGGGAGAGGGAGACUCGGGUGAGAGAGCCAGAGGCAGAGUUAGGAACGCAGACAGAACCUUGAUAAGACCCAGGUCCCUCUAGAGAGAAGGCCAAGCCCCCAGAGGGCCCGAGAUCUCAAAGAAGGGGGGGGGGGUGGAAAGAGGCCAAGGCCAAAAACUCAGAUGGAAGAGGAAAGAACGGAGAGCAGAGCACAGAUGAGACCCUCAGCUCAGCCUGGUGGACACCGCCCAGCGCCAGCAAUUGGUAUUUAAGACGCAGCAGCGGGCGUCUCCUCCUCCCCGGAUGGGUCCCUGUCUGUCCUUGCCACCCACAUGCUAGUGACCAAUUCCCCACCCCAACCGCUGCCACGGCCCAGCCCUCCUCUCCAGCCCUCCUGUUCCUUCUUCCCCAGGUCCCGGCCCGGGCCGGCCCUCUGGGGGGGGGGGGGGGCAGGGAACUCCACUCCUGGGUUCCUGGCGCCCUCAAGAGAGCAGUGCCAGCCCAGUACACAGCAGACAUGCAACACGGGCCCUUUACUUGCAUUCUGCUUUCCAGCUCGCAGACCUGUCUGUCCAUCGGCGGUCCCCAGGCGGCUCAGGCACGCUCUCCCCACCACACCACUUCUCCCUUCCCGAGACCCAGUGCCCCCUGCCACAGCAGAGGCAAGCCUGAGACCUCCCUCCUGGCUCCUCCUGCCUCCGGUCUUGACCAGCCUCGGGUUUCUCCAGCCUCUUCCCUGCCUCCUAAGUCGUCCCCUCCCACCUCUGCUCUGCGCUGAGUGCUGAGCCACGACCCCCUUAGAAGCCCAAGGCUUACCCCUCGGACCACAAUGCCCACUGCCCCAGGCUCCAGCUCCAUUCCUUGAGGAACCUGGCUCCCCCACACCCCAAAUCUUUGCUUGUGCCCUUUCACUCGGGGGAUUUUUAGGAGGCCAGUCCUGCGCCUGGUCCCAGUACUCAAGAGGUCACGGCUGGGUCGGGGAGACACCGGAAGCAGGCUCGGUCCUGGCCCUCAGGGGUUAGUGGGAGAGUCGCAGGGACCAGGUCCCGUCUGGCCCUCACGGUCACAUGCGAUACAGGUCACUCUACAUGCGACACAGGUCACUCUGGUGACAGAGAUGGAUGCAGACGCCUACGAGGCUUAAGAGUUGGAGGGGCAAUGGGAAAGAAAGACCACCACUGAGGCGAACUGCAGAUCAUAAAAGGGAUCCGACCAGGUUGAAAUGCGGGGACUCUCUCCCGAGGGACAAGACAGGAGCCACAGACGCGCUGGAAGAGAAGUACAGCCAGUCCCACUCUGUAAGGGCUGAGUCCACCCUGAAAACUCGAGAACAAAUCAGUCCAGGUCCCUGCUCCCUAGCAGUCCUCCGGAGGGACGGGGGAAGACGGACGGGCUAGAGGCGGGCAGCCGGAAAAGGGAACCAGAACCUCGGAGGCCACCUGCUGCUCUGCCCCCUCCCGGAUACAGGAUCCUGAGCCUAUUCUCUGCCUGUUUCCUCAGCGCCCCCCCCCCCAAAACCUCCCCCAAACCCAAAAGACAACACUUCGCCAGAUCGGGCAGCACAGGAGUUUGAGACACAUAGGCUUUUUUUUCCUUUUUCUUUUAAACCCACUCUCCCUCUCCGGGCCUCAGUUUUCACAUCUGUAGAAUGGGGAUGACCAUGGCCGUAAUGCCCCCCCCCCCCCCGACAGGGGCGGUUGGAAGAACCCAACAAGAUCAGGGGUGUGAAAAGCGUGUCUGUGUGGUUUUGUGUUCGGGGAGGUACCAUAGCUGGUUGAAAUCCCAACAGGCUCACUUAGUGCGUGUGCCCUUUCCCAGGAAAGGAAGAGCUGCUACUAAUUAAAUGAUGAUACGCCAUCAUUUAAUUAAACAAAUUAAGUGAGAUCCACCUUCAUUUCAGAGUUGUUAAAAUAUGAAGUGCGUGUUGCCGAAUGGAUAAAACACGAUAUGGUCUCUGCUGGGCGGGGGUCGGGCCAUCCUGGCAGAAGGCGGAGGGGCAGCUCGCGUGGCGGGGCUGUCGCGCAGGGGCGCGGGAGGACAGCAGGGUCAACAGGGAGGGUGCCUGCCCUCGAUUACAUCACGCCCGGCAGGACAGCCCCACGGAAUCAAAUCAAUUCAUAUUUCUGCCAUGAAAUCUAUGAACGUGCACGUCAGGUGGGGUAAACAGACGACACGUGGGCCUCUACCAGGUCCAGUUGGGGUUUGUAGCCAAAGGCGGCACAGGAAACAUUUGGCUUUCUGACCUUUUUGGAUUUUUCUGAAUUUUGGGCCCUAACACUUAUGUGGGACUUGGUGUGUACUGAACUCCAUUCAAGGGCUUCCCCCAAAUGCUUCACACCUCGGAACUCAUUUAGUUCUUAUAACAAGUGUAUGAGGUGGGUGCGUGGGUGCUCUUAUCUUCCCAUCUUACAGAUUAGGAAACUGAGACACAAUGAGGCUGGCUGCUGAGGAGGGGUGGAGAUGGGAUUCAGCCUCAGGCACCCAGACUCCAGGGUCCACCACCUCCCCCACCCCUCUGCCACGCUGCCUCAUUGGAGGGGGACCCAGGAAGAUGCAUUUGGCUCCGGCAGUUUGGGGGCCUGUGGUGCUAUUAGGAGGCCCCAUAGGUCUGCAGAUGCCGGGGGGUGGGAGCUGGAAGUCACUGAAAGUGGCAGGAGGGAGAUCAAGAAACAGCUUGAAGAGAAUGUGUGCAGAGUGGGAAGAGUAAGGACAGGGAGGGAGGGGGUCCCCAGCAAGCCCUGUGUUUAUAGCGUGGAGGAGCAAGGGCACUAAGGAAGAGUGGUGGGGACCUUGGGGUGCCAAUGGGCUGUAGACGCUUCCUCCCCCUCGCCUGCCAGGCCUCUCCUGUGCUCAGUGCCCCCCUGAGACCGGCAGUAGAGUGAAGCUAGGGACCCACUGCUCUGGACCUCUUCUGCUACUGUGGGCCCCUGUGGGUGUGGCCACCUCCUCCCCCACACUGGGGACAUCCCUCCGGGGUGUGACAUCUCCACACUGUCACUCUCCCUCUGAGGGCUCGGCAUCUCCUCCAGAGUGUCAGGGCGCUGAGGGUGUGGACACUUCCUCCAGGCUGUCAGAGCCUCUCGGGUGUAGACCCGAGCUCCUUCAGACUGUCACUAUCCCUCGGGGGUGAGGACACUUGAGUUUCCCGACUGUCAGGGCAGUGUGGGUGUGGACACUUCCUAAGUCAGACUGCCAGGGUCCUCUGGAGCGCUCGCUCUCUUCCUUGGGUGGCUCUGGGACACGGACACCUCUUCCUCCUACAGACUGUCAGGCCUUCCCUUCUCUAGACUGCCGGGAACCCUCUGGGCUGUGGCCACCUCCUCCCUCCUCUAGACUGUCAGGUCCUCUGCUAUCUCCUCCAUCCGACCACCGGAUUCUCUGGGGCAUGGACAUGACCUUGUCCAGACCAUCAGGGUCCUCUGCAGUGCGGACGCUCCGCCCCUAGCCGGUCUCUGCCCGCCCCGGCCCCUGGGCUCUGACCCUCUCUACGGUAUAGUUCCCCAGAGCAGGAGCCGCUCCUCUCCAUCAGUGUCAUCACUACUGUGGAGACAGCUUCAGGUGUGUGUCCCUUAGGCCAAUUCUGUCACUCCCCCGCCAAAUCACACCCCCAAGAGACCUAUGGAAAUGGGGGGGUGCUUGGGGGGUGUCAUCGCAACAGGGCACACUCAGGGAUUUAAAUGGUCACGGUCCAGGGGUGUUUUGUGUUCCCCGAUGCAUGAGAUGGUCCCACGGCACAAAGAACUGCCCCACUUCAAGUGCCCACCGUGUCUCAGCGUAGAACGUGACACCUGCUGUGGCGGGCACUUGCUAGUUAUUCACCCACACACCUCUGGAUUUUCCACUUGAGCAUAAGGCUAAGUCACACUUCGCGGGCCUCUGCCCCGAGCUACGGCCCGUGAGUCGGUUCCCACCAGCAGGUGCGCGCCGACGUGACAAGCGCACCGCGUCCAGGCCUCCCCGGGUCUGCCCCGCCUCAGCCCACCUGCCUCGCAGUGCUGAGGCUCAGAGGCGGCUCCAAGGCCCUGAAGCACAGCAAAGGCACAAGCGGGAAGGAACCCGGGUGUCUGCGCCGUCAGGAGGAAGGACACCACCUACAGGCCCACGCUGGGCUGGGAGAGGCGCGAACGGAUUUCCAACGCGCCGCGCCGCUAAGCGCCGCUAAGCGUUGGGGUUGCCUGGUAGGGUGGGGGGCCUGCCUCCCACGGCCGGCUCUCCCCCAGCGUCCCGCGUGUCCAGAGGAGGAAGCCGGCCUCCCCCAGGCACUCCAGCCCGCCUCCGGCAGGCCGUCGUCGGCGCCCCGCUUGGGCGGACUAGCAAAAGGUGCUCCUCCCGGGGCAGGCACCGCUGGGCUGACGGCUGGGCCCUCGGGGGAAAUGAGAAGAGGAAGUGCCCCGUCAGGUGACACAACCCCUCGCAGCCCACAGGGCCCGCUGAAAGGAACGCUGCCUGGAUUUCGGUUCCCGCUUUUGCCCUUUGCUGGCUCCCCUGGGGAGAGAGGGCCGCCCAGCCCCGAGGUAUUUCAGGGGGGCUUUACCCGCCUGCUUAGACCACUCACCCCGGCUGGGGUGGGGCCUCUCACACUGGGGUUCACCGCCCCCAACACCUCGCCCACCGCACCGGGAGUGCGGGGAAGCCGCAGGCACACAGAGGGGCGGGCGAGCCCGGCGCACUGCGCUUGGCGGUGGGGCGGCGACGGCGGGAACACGCGCCCAGCCCCGACUCCCUACCUCGCCCACGUACUCCAUGACGAAGCUGUUCUUGCGGAUCUUCUCCAGUGUGCGGACACCCCAGCCGCGGCCGUCGUCCGUGCGGAAGAUGCAGAGGUCGUAGCGGAUGCCCUUCUGCACCACGCGGUUGGGGCAGUCGUAGCCGCAGCGGCAGCGCGAGUUGCACUCGUAGAUGGGCAGCCCGGCUCGCAGCCGCACCUGGCCCUGGUCGUUGUAGGCGAACUUGUGCAGCGAGGCCCCCGGGCAGCAGCCUCCGGCAGGUGCCCACAGACAGUCCUGGCACUCGCAGCCCACGGCCACCUGGUUGAGGGUGAUGCCCUCACCCACCCGGUACUCGUUGAUGUACACGAAGGCCCGCGGGGGGCCGUCCAGGUCCACCUCGUUCUCCACGGUGAUGCGUCCCAGGUGGCUGCGCUUGGCGUUGAGCUCCUGCUCCCAGCGCCGGAGGGCCCGCCUCUGCUUGGCCUUCUGCACCAGGUAGUUGGCCAGGCUUGGGUCCAGGUGCCGCGGCGGCUUUGACCGGUGGUGCCGCCGGAGCAGCUCCCGUUCCAAGUCCUUGUGGAACUGCUUGAGGAUGCGCACACACUUGAGAUUCUGCCGAGGCUCCCAGGUGCUCUCUGAGUCUGGGUACCCACGCCAUUUCACCAGGUACUCGACUUCAAAGUCAUAGAGGUUCCUCUUGGAGAUGCCAAGGGCAGGGCAGGAGAGCUUGGCCAGGCGGCACAGGUCCUGGAGCUGAUUCCAAGAAGACUUGCAACACACACUGCAUCCUGGAACAAAGAGGGCCAGAAAGAACUAUUACCAGGCAUUCUGGUGAGCCCAGGGGUCAAAGAGGAUCUCAGAUCCUCCCUGAGACUUCCAAAGGACUGCCUCACGGUCAGUGAAAUUUAAUCCACAGGCCUUCCCAAUGCUCAGACCCUUCUACAACAAAAACGUGCUACUCCCAUCUACCCCUGGAGCAGCAGACUUCAGAGUGGGAUCUGCUGCAAGGAUUGUCCUAAAGGCAUCUAUUCCCAGAGCUCCCAGCUCCCUUCAUACCAUUCCUGAAGCUGCCUGCAAACCUGCCUGGAGUUGGGACCCAACCAUCCUUCUCCCCACUUUGCAAAAGAAAGAGAACAACCCCCCUCCAUCUCAGUAGGGUGCAUAGCCCCAAGGGGGGUGGGUAGGGAUGGGAUUAAAACCUCCAGAGCACCACCGAACAAAGGCCUAAACUGGAAAGACUGGUCCACAAUUCUUAUCUGAAACUCCUGGGGCCAGACGUGUUUUUGGAAUCCAAAUUUCUUUUUUUGGAUUUUACCAGCGUAGUUCUACAUAUAGCCCACACUUGCCCUAACACACCCCUGUUGUGGUCAGGGGCACCAAGCCAUGAUCAAACACUAAUACUUCUACAGCAAGAGCCUGAAUUUUUCAUAUUAAAGGGUAUAAAGAUAUAAGGUA